ACUUUGCUUUAUCACUCCGCAAAUAUGCUCCUAUUAAAAAAAAAAAAAAGCAGCUUUUCAGUGUUUGAUGUGUAUUUUAUUAAUUCCCUAGGCCCCACUCAUUUGCUAGAUGUUCUUUUCCUUUGAUCUCUUGGUAGCAGUGUUCAUUUAGGAGAUGUGUUUAUCUGAGCGGGCCUCAAUAUCCUAUCAGGGAAUUUGAAUAAAUAUAGUUAUUUCUUAUUUUCUAACACAGAGCAGCUGAGGGGUUUUAGAAAUCGAAAAGCAUGGAAGAAAUUGAAUUCUAGGCUGUCUUUUAAUAGGUAGGACCUUUGCAGUAAGGUCAAUAAAUCCAGAUAUGCUAAUAAAAUGUUAAUAAUAACUACAAUUAGAACUUCAGCUGACUUUAUUUUUUUUAAUUAACAGGACUUUUUCACUUAACUUAUGAAUAUUUCACUUUUACUGGAGAAUUUUUGGCUUUGCUGAUAUAGCUUUUGUGCAAACUACCUUUUUUGGGUCAAAGAACAGGGAUGUCACACCACAUCUAUUUAAAACACAACCACUGUUCAUCAGUCAACUGAUGCUUGGCAGAUGAAAUAUUCCAUUCAUUAAUAGUAGGAAAAAACUGAGAUGGGUCACUUUGGAACACAGUGACGUCGGAUAACUUAGCCAGAACUUAUUGAUGACUGCAUGUUCAAUGGACUCAAGAAGGUAAUGGGAGAUGCAAGAAUGUACUCUUUUGAAGGAACAGAAGAGGAGGCAUUUCAAAGAUCCUGCAGGUGACUGAGAUUGACACACAGGUUGAAUUCAGAAGUACAAGAAAAGAGCUCUGCCUGUGGAAGGAGCCUGCGGUCCAAAGGGUUUGCUCUAAACUAUUGUGAGACCUCCGGCUACAACACAGGACAUGGGAGCUUUUCUGAACCCUCGUGUCUUGUGUUGCAGCCAGAGGGGCGCAUCUUUUCAACCAACUCUGAGACAUGCAGAAGAAACCAACAUGGAAGAGGUGUAAAGAGAGAGUGAGAGACUGAUACAGGCAUGGGACUUCACUGAACAUCUGAGAGGAGCAGACUCAGGAAUGUGAUCCUUGGCUUUAGUCUUUGAAGCUUUCUCCCAGAGCCAGAGGAGAUGUC
RNAcentral lists this long non-coding RNA (1106 nucleotides) under Struthio camelus australis. RNAcentral's name for it is "lncRNA (ENSSCUG00000002896.1)". The stretch from base 851 to 931 matches the Rfam family "mir-187 microRNA precursor family". The record is from RNAcentral. Lineage: Eukaryota; Metazoa; Chordata; Aves; Struthioniformes; Struthionidae.